Molecule: ribosomal RNA, 833 nt
Filed under: Salmonella enterica subsp. enterica serovar Give var. 15 str. CFSAN004343
Lineage: Bacteria; Pseudomonadati; Pseudomonadota; Gammaproteobacteria; Enterobacterales; Enterobacteriaceae
Description: bacterial LSU rRNA
Rfam family: Bacterial large subunit ribosomal RNA
Source: RNAcentral
GGGUUGUGAGGUUAAGCGACUAAGCGUACACGGUGGAUGCCCUGGCAGUCAGAGGCGAUGAAGGGCGUGCUAAUCUGCGAUAAGCGCCGGUAAGGUGAUAUGAACCGUUAUAACCGGCGAUACCCGAAUGGGGAAACCCAGUGUGACUCGUCACACUAUCAUUAACUGAAUCCAUAGGUUAAUGAGGCGAACCGGGGGAACUGAAACAUCUAAGUACCCCGAGGAAAAGAAAUCAACCGAGAUUCCCCCAGUAGCGGCGAGCGAACGGGGAGGAGCCCAGAGCCUGAAUCAGCAUGUGUGUUAGUGGAAGCGUCUGGAAAGGCGCGCGAUACAGGGUGACAGCCCCGUACACAAAAGCGCAUGUGCUGUGAGCUCGAUGAGUAGGGCGGGACACGUGGUAUCCUGUCUGAAUAUGGGGGGACCAUCCUCCAAGGCUAAAUACUCCUGACUGACCGAUAGUGAACCAGUACCGUGAGGGAAAGGCGAAAAGAACCCCGGCGAGGGGAGUGAAAAAGAACCUGAAACCGUGUACGUACAAGCAGUGGGAGCCCCACCACCAAAGCAUUCUCUGGUGUUGAAGGCCCUGCAAAGCAGCAUCGCGGUGGCGGAGCGUCGUUUGCGACGCCCAACACACAAAACAAGCGGUGAAUGCUUUGGGGUGGGGUGACUGCGUACCUUUUGUAUAAUGGGUCAGCGACUUAUAUUCUGUAGCAAGGUUAACCGAAUAGGGGAGCCGGAGGGAAACCGAGUCUUAAUUGGGCGUUAAGUUGCAGGGUAUAGACCCGAAACCCGGUGAUCUAGCCAUGGGCAGGUUGAAGGUUGGGUAACACUAA